UUUUAUUGAACAAUAAAUACAUCUAUAGAGAACAACAUAAUUUUAUGUUCAGUCAUUCAUACAUUAUCAAAUAACAACAUAAUUCAUCACAUUUGUACAAAAACUUCUCAUUCAAUAUACAAAAAUAAGAUUAGAAAAAAAAAAGAAAAAAAAAACAUAAAAUAGUAGCAUAAAUAAUAUAAAACAUAUUAUAAUAAAAAAGAAAAAAUGGAGUAG
This 216-nucleotide long non-coding RNA is filed under the name Lathyrus oleraceus (garden pea). RNAcentral's name for it is "Pisum sativum (pea) long non-coding RNA (PSAT_LNC022854)". Lineage: Eukaryota; Viridiplantae; Streptophyta; Magnoliopsida; Fabales; Fabaceae. The record is from RNAcentral.